This 409-nucleotide small RNA is filed under the name Pan troglodytes (chimpanzee). RNAcentral describes it as "processed transcript". Lineage: Eukaryota; Metazoa; Chordata; Mammalia; Primates; Hominidae. The record is from RNAcentral.
AAAAUAACCUCUAUUUAACUUUAACUGAAACUGUGCUUCUCCCCACAGCCCCUUGUUCAUAUAUGCACAUCUCUUGCCCUCAGUGGAGGGGAUUUGACGGUGGUGUUCGCAUUUCUCUAUGUUCCUGACUCUCUUGCAGAUCAUUGCUGAAGGUGCCAAUGGGCCAACAACUCCAGAAGCUGACAAGAUCUUCCUGGAGAGAAACAUUAUGGUUAUUCCAGAUCUCUACUUGAAUGCUGGAGGAGUGACAGUAUCUUACUUUGAGUGGCUGAAGAAUCUAAAUCAUGUCAGCUAUGGCCGUUUGACCUUCAAAUAUGAAAGGGAUUCUAACUACCACUUGCUCAUGUCUGUUCAAGAGAGUUUAGAAAGAAAAUUUGGAAAGCAUGGUGGAACUAUUCCCAUUGUACCC